Molecule: ribosomal RNA, 309 nt
Filed under: Triticum aestivum (bread wheat)
Lineage: Eukaryota; Viridiplantae; Streptophyta; Magnoliopsida; Poales; Poaceae
Description: partial small subunit ribosomal RNA
Source: RNAcentral
AUGGACGGCCGCAGGGACCAGGUGAUCUCUUGGUUGACGGAGGAGAGUGAGGAGCUGAAGGUGGUGGCUAUUGUUGGAGGCGGGGGGCUGGGAAAGACCACCCUCGCCAUGGAGACCUAUCGCAAGAUUGGAGGAGACUUCCGGUCCCAAGCUCAUGUGAUGGUGUCACGCACCCUAGAUCUCAAGAAGCUCUUAAAAGAUGUCCUGUCUCAAAUCGACCAAGAUUCAUUCAGUGAAUGCAAAAGGUGGGAGGAAGACCAACUAAUCCGUCGGAUCCAACACAUAUUGGCAAACAAGAGACGCAAGUAA